UACGGGGGGAGCAAGCGUUGUUCGGAUUUACUGGGCGUAAAGGGUGCGUAGGCGGCGCGGUAAGUCGGGUGUGAAAUCUCGGGGCUUAACUCCGAAACUGCAUUCGAUACUGCCGUGCUUGAGGACUGGAGAGGAGACUGGAAUUUACGGUGUAGCGGUGAAAUGCGUAGAUAUCGUAAGGAAGACCAGUGGCGAAGGCGGGUCUCUGGACAGUUCCUGACGCUGAGGCACGAAGGUCAGGGGAGCAGACGGG
This 253-nucleotide ribosomal RNA is filed under the name uncultured bacterium. RNAcentral describes it as "partial 16S ribosomal RNA". It matches the Rfam family "Bacterial small subunit ribosomal RNA", at positions 524 to 776 of the family's 1533-position model. The record is from RNAcentral.